Molecule: ribosomal RNA, 253 nt
Filed under: uncultured bacterium
Lineage: Bacteria
Description: partial 16S ribosomal RNA
Rfam family: Bacterial small subunit ribosomal RNA
Source: RNAcentral
UACAGAGGGUGCGAGCGUUAAUCGGAAUCAUUGGGCGUAAAGCGCGCGUAGGCGGCUUUGCAAGUCGGAUGUGAAAUCCCCGGGCUCAACCUGGGAACUGCAUUCGAGACUGCAUUGCUUGAGUAUGGGAGAGGGAGGCGGAAUUUCAGGUGUAGCGGUGAAAUGCGUAGAUAUCUGAAGGAACAUCAGUGGCGAAAGCGGCCUCCUGGACCAAUACUGACGCUCAUGUGCGAAAGCGUGGGGAGCAAACAGG